AAACUUUUAACAAUGGAUCUCUUGGCUCUCGCAUCGAUGAAGAACGCAGCAAAAUGCGAUAGGUAAUAUGAAUUGCAGAAUUCCGUGAAUCAUCAAAUUUUUGAACGCAAAUUGCACUUCUUGGUAUUCCGAGGAGUACACAUGCUUGAGGGUCAGUU
This 158-nucleotide ribosomal RNA is filed under the name Dentiscutata savannicola. RNAcentral describes it as "5.8S ribosomal RNA". It matches the Rfam family "5.8S ribosomal RNA". From Rfam's summary of the family: 5.8S ribosomal RNA (5.8S rRNA) is a component of the large subunit of the eukaryotic ribosome. The record is from RNAcentral. Lineage: Eukaryota; Fungi; Glomeromycota; Glomeromycetes; Diversisporales; Gigasporaceae.